CGGUGAGGAUGUUCUAUGCAGAAGUUUCCAUUGUUUGGCACAUGCAGCUGAUCUGAAGUGCCACGCAGUGCUAGGUUUUGGGUAGCAAGCCCUCUCACAAUGGCAAAGAGCCUUUUCAGAACUCUGAUGCAAUCUUCUCUUCAUGCUGAUCAUCUAUGGUGGC
Molecule: long non-coding RNA, 163 nt
Organism: Mauremys mutica (yellowpond turtle)
Lineage: Eukaryota; Metazoa; Chordata; Testudines; Geoemydidae
Exons: 3
Source: RefSeq, a predicted model, not a curated record